UGGCGAUGAACGGGAACAGCCCAUCGCCAAACUGCCAGCCAUCCAGGUUGCGUGGAAUGUGGCGUUUGGAAGGGUCUUCUCCACAACGGUAGCUGCCAGUCAAAGUCCAACUUGACAGUGGCUCAUCCCAUAGAGGGUGAUAGGCCCGUAAGGCGACAGCUUGGUUGUGUGGACCUCUUCCUCGAGUCGGCAUGCUUGAAAGUGCAUGCCAAAGUGCGAGGUAAACUCCUCGUAAGGCUAAAUAUGACUCCAAGACCGAUAGCAAACAAGUACAGUGAUGGAAAUUUGAAAAGAACUUUGAAGAGAGAGUUAACAGUACGUGAAACUGUAUGGUUGUAAACAAAGCCUUCCUCGAAGUUUUCCCAACGGUGACAGCCUAUGGGUUCUGCUGGUGCCUCAGCUCGGAUUGGUUGAAAGCUGACCGGGCUUGGGUGCAUGAUCGGUGGGCCCACUGGUGCAUCUCCGAGCGUGGAUUUACGGUAGGAACUGUUCAGACCGGACCGAAGGGCUGGGGUGAAGUUUUUGCUCCGGCAUCAGCUCCCGGUGGCCUGGCUCCGGACCGGACAGGCUCUGCAUGCCAACUUGUACAGCAAGCAACCUUUUGUUGUUGCGGUUGGCACUUCCCUAUCGAGUAGGUCGGUGUAGGCUUUGACCCGUCUUGAAACACGGACC
Molecule: ribosomal RNA, 672 nt
Filed under: Tortanus gracilis
Lineage: Eukaryota; Metazoa; Arthropoda; Copepoda; Calanoida; Tortanidae
Description: partial 28S large subunit ribosomal RNA
Rfam family: Eukaryotic large subunit ribosomal RNA
Source: RNAcentral